CCAUACUGGUGAAAACCUAUGGCGAACGGGUGAGUAACACGUGAGCAACCUGCCCCGAAGACUGGGAUAACAGUGGGAAACCGCUGCUAAUACCGGAUACCCCCAUUGGACCACAUGGCCCGAUGAGGAAAUGGAUUCCGCUUCGGGAGGGGCUCGCGGCCUAUCAGCUUGUUGGUGGGGUAACGGCCUACCAAGGCGACGACGGGUAGCUGGUCUGAGAGGACGAUCAGCCACACUGGGACUGAGACACGGCCCAGACUCCUACGGGAGGCAGCAGUGGGGAAUAUUGCGCAAUGGGCGAAAGCCUGACGCAGCAACGCCGCGUGAGGGAUGACGGCCUUCGGGUUGUAAACCUCUUUCAAGCAGGGACGAUAAUGACGGUACCUGCAGAAGAAGCUCCGGCCAACUACGUG
RNAcentral lists this ribosomal RNA (413 nucleotides) under uncultured bacterium. RNAcentral's name for it is "bacterial SSU rRNA". It matches the Rfam family "Bacterial small subunit ribosomal RNA", at positions 76 to 507 of the family's 1533-position model. The record is from RNAcentral.